Molecule: long non-coding RNA, 1015 nt
Organism: Pygocentrus nattereri (red-bellied piranha)
Lineage: Eukaryota; Metazoa; Chordata; Actinopteri; Characiformes; Serrasalmidae
Source: Ensembl
GUCUAAUCAUUCACUCAUAACAGCAAAAUCCAGCAGGUUAGCUAGAACAGUUAUAGCUAGCUGUUUUAGUGGUGAAAUUAUGGAGGGUUUAAAACAGAGAUGUGCAUUCUGAGGAGUUUUGAUAUCAGAGUCUCUGUAAGAGUUUAUGAAUAGAUAUUCAGUUAAACAUGCAUACAGAGAAUAUGAUUGAAAAACAUGUCUUAUUAUUCCAAAAGAACUGAGAGUUUGGAAAUUGGUACUGUCAGGACUGUCAUCCUCUACCUGAGGCCUUUUCUCCUCGCUGGACGUGGACCAACAUUUUUCUGCUUGUGGCUCAGCCUGAAUUUUUAUGUGGCCUGGAUGACAGACUUUAGCCAUGAAUAACCAUGAAGUAUCCAAAGCAGCUUCUUGUGUCUGUCUCUGAGAAAUGCCACCAUAGAGAUGGAAGCCACUGGAGGAGAAAGGCCAGCACCCGCCCAAGACCUCCCACCCUCGGCCUUCUGCUUGUUCUUCUGCUGUUCUCUCUGCAGCUACUUCAUCAUCCAGGCCCUCAAAGGGAGGAAGAUUACAGUGUCCAGAUUUAUGACCCAGUCCUGACCCUUCUGUGGUCCAAGCUGGGCUUUCAAGGCUUGGUGAGAAAAAUGAAGAGAUCACUGCAGCUCUGACUGGAAGUUCUGAAAGAACAAGCAUUAGACAAGCCAGUAGCAUUUAACCCUUUGAAGUUGACCUUGGAGUUAACAAAAAUGCACUUUUUAUUGAUUCUUUCUCAUACUUAAUGGAAACAUGCAGAGAAAUUCUGUCAGCAGUGAAGAUGAUUAACGUUCAAUCCAUACUGUAUUCAUGCUUGUAACUAGAAGACAAGGUAUUUUAUUAGGAAUCAAAUUUAAUAUACACUAUAUUACCAAAACUAUUAGCUGGUCUGCCUUUGACCGCAUGAGUGAGAUCCCAUUCUUAAUCUAUAGGGUUUAAUAUGAUGUUGGCUGACCCUUUGCAGCUACAACAAUUUCAACUCUUCUGGGAAUCCACAAGAUUUAGG